GACGAACGCUGGCGGCGUGCCUAACACAUGCAAGUCGAGCGAAUGAAGUUCCUUCGGGAAUGGAUUUAGCGGCGGACGGGUGAGUAACACGUGGGCAACCUGCCUCAUAGAGGGGAAUAGCCUCCCGAAAGGGAGAUUAAUACCGCAUAAGAUUGUAGUACCGCAUGAUACAGCAAUUAAAGGAGCAAUCCGCUAUGAGAUGGGCCCGCGGCGCAUUAGCUAGUUGGUGAGCUAAUGGCUCACCAAGGCGACGAUGCGUAGCCGACCUGAGAGGGUGAUCGGCCACAUUGGGACUGAGACACGGCCCAGACUCCUACGGGAGGCAGCAGUGGGGAAUAUUGCACAAUGGGGGAAACCCUGAUGCAGCAACGCCGCGUGAGUGAUGACGGCCUUCGGGUUGUAAAGCUCUGUCUUCAGGGACGAUAAUGACGGUACCUGAGGAGGAAGCCACGGCUAACUACGUG
Molecule: ribosomal RNA, 464 nt
Filed under: uncultured bacterium
Lineage: Bacteria
Description: partial 16S ribosomal RNA
Rfam family: Bacterial small subunit ribosomal RNA
Source: RNAcentral